RNAcentral lists this ribosomal RNA (322 nucleotides) under uncultured eukaryote. RNAcentral describes it as "partial 18S ribosomal RNA". It matches the Rfam family "Eukaryotic small subunit ribosomal RNA", at positions 1470 to 1796 of the family's 1831-position model. The record is from RNAcentral.
CCCUUAGAUGUUCUGGGCCGCGCGCGUGCUACACUGAGUGGAUCAGCGGGUCAGGUUACGCGAGAGCGUUUCCUAAUCUUCAAAUCCGCUCGUGAUGGGGAUUGACGGUUGCAAUUUUCCGUCAUGAACGAGGAAUACCUUGUAAGCGCGGGUCAUCAUCCCGCGCUGAAUACGUCCCUGCCCUUUGUACACACCGCCCGUCGCUCCUACCGAUUGAGUGGUCCGGUGAAGCCUCGGGAUUGUGGUUCUUGCCGCUUUAUUGUGGCGUGACCGCGAGAACUUGUCUAAACCUUAUCAUCUAGAGGAAGGUGAAGUCGUAACA